UACGAAGGGUGCAAGCGUUAAUCGGAAUUACUGGGCGUAAAGCGUGCGUAGGCGGUUUCUUAAGUCUGCUGUGAAAGCCCUGGGCUCAACCUGGGAAUGGCGGUGGAUACUGAGAAGCUGGAGUACGGUAGAGGAAGGUGGAAUUCCCGGUGUAGCGGUGAAAUGCGUAGAGAUCGGGAGGAACAUCAGUGGCGAAGGCGGCCUUCUGGACCAGUACUGACGCUGAGACGCGAAAGCGUGGGGAGCGAACAGG
RNAcentral lists this ribosomal RNA (253 nucleotides) under uncultured bacterium. RNAcentral's name for it is "partial 16S ribosomal RNA". It matches the Rfam family "Bacterial small subunit ribosomal RNA", at positions 524 to 776 of the family's 1533-position model. The record is from RNAcentral.